This is a long non-coding RNA of Zophobas morio, 910 nucleotides long. RefSeq lists it as uncharacterized. NCBI's taxonomy places the organism in Eukaryota, Metazoa, Arthropoda, Insecta, Coleoptera, Tenebrionidae. The transcript is spliced from 3 exons. The record is from RefSeq and is a predicted model, not a curated record.
GCCCGGUAUGUAAUGCAGGCUCUCAGAAGCCCGGGCUUUCUACAUGCAAUACCGAUCUAUAAGUCGAAUAUAUCGCUUUAUUGUAAAAUGUUUAGUGGGGGCAACUUGAGAGGGGUAGAAAUUAUUUACAUACACCAAAAGCCUUACUUUGCUGUUUUAACGAAGCCAUUGAUAUACAACAUGAAAUGCGAAGCCCGGCUGUAUAAAAUGCAGAUAUUUCACAUGUGAAAUGCAACCAUGCUGCGUUGCCAUUUUGCUAUUGUUUCUCAGCCUUCUGAUGAGAUCAUUUUAAUUCUUGUGAUCGAAGUGCACGUACGAGGUGCUAGCAUGGACCACUUUAAGUUUUUGGUUAGUUUGGCUACUCAAAACGAAAUUGGUUACCCCAAGAUAUUUUUCAAACUGCAAAGGUGGCCAAAGUAUUAAUGUUGUUAGAAAAAGGCAGAGGAAGACAAUUUAUAGGAAAAAGCCUCGAUGAAAUAAAAAUAGACAAGGAUAUGUAUUUAAAUUCUGAUGACGAAGACUCUUUUCGUAAUACAGCUAGUUUUGAAAAUGUUGAAAGUGAAGAAAUUUCACAGUUUGGGCCGGAAAAUGCAGAAUGCACGGAGAGCACUUCUCAACUUAAUGCUGAACCAGGUCCUUCAAGCAUGGAAGCUGCAGUUAAAAAAGGAGGGAAGAAAAUAAAACCAUGUGGCCGCGUUCGUUGGACAGAAACUGAAAAGACAAUUGUUAUAAAAAAAACAUCAGCAUGCUUAGCUAGCAGUUCAUCACAUUCAUAUUUUUUUGGUGUGAUUUUCUUUUGAAUAUGCAGUUUGAAGUAAUCCGUAUAUUAAACAAGGAUUGGGUGCGCAUUAAAACUUUUGUGUACAAUGUGUUUAGACAAAAAGUUCUUUAAUAAAACCUAUUUUCAUGA